Molecule: long non-coding RNA, 1024 nt
Organism: Homo sapiens (human)
Lineage: Eukaryota; Metazoa; Chordata; Mammalia; Primates; Hominidae
Gene: HCP5
Product: HLA complex P5
Source: Ensembl
CCAAGGUUGCGGGUCAUGGAGUCCCGAACCCUCCUCCUGCUGUUCUCGGGAGCCGUGGCCCUGAUCCAGACCUGGGCAGAUUACAAUUACAAUCAAGGCAGAAAUGAUCUCAUUUUUACAUUACAACUCUGGAAAAGGCAAUAGACUGAGAUGCAAGUGUGCCCCCAAGUGAUGGGCAGAAGGAGAGAAGGUGUUUUGGAUGCAUUCUAGAACACAGGACCCUGACUGUCCCACAGAAGAAGUGACAAGAAUUUAUUUAUGACAUGACAAUAACACAUGUAUUCAUGGUGUUAAUUCGAUUUGUUUCAUAGAGACAGGGUCUUGCUAUGUUGCCCAGGCUGGUCUUCCACUCCUGGCCUCAAGCAAUCCCCCUGACUUGGACUUCCAAAGUGCUAGCAUUACAGGUGUGAGCCAUUGUGCCCAGCCCUUAACUUGAAAAUCUGACAGUAUAAUAAAAGAAAAAAAUAGAAGUAUUCUGGAAAUGGAAGAGGAAAGAAGGCUAAGGUGGAAAUCAUCAAUCUGUGUCAUCUGAGAAGCCCCACGUGCAGAGGCUGUCCCGGGACUUUAGGGGAGAACAAAAACAAAGCACCCAGGAUCCUGGUGUCAGGGACAGAGCAUGGCCACGGCGGGAUGGUAGUGGCUCUCCUAUGAAAUAAUGCUCAUAAACAUCCCUUGUGAGAAGGAUCAGAUCAACAUAUAAAAAUAUGCCAAAUAAAGUGAAACUCAAGGCAGGAGUGGGACUGGCCAUUCUCAGCCCGUGACCUCCAUGGACUUGGAGAAAGGCUCAGCCUGGAGAUGUGUGAGGCCUCCGACCUGGAGCAGCACCCGCCCCUAAAGACCAGGCACAAAUCCCAGCACAUGGAGGGAUCCAGACAAAUACACAAGAGAUGACCACAGCAGGAGCUUUACUGGGCACAGAGCGAGGCCACACACCACUCAGCUCCUGCCCCUCCACCUGCCCUUCUCUCCCCACCUGCCCCUGCCCCAGCACAGCAGAUCCUCAGAAUCCAAAAAGAGAACCUAA